AUGAACGCUGGCGGCGUGCCUAAUACAUGCAAGUCGAGCGAACAGACGAGGAGCUUGCUCCUCUGACGUUAGCGGCGGACGGGUGAGUAACACGUGGAUAACCUACCUAUAAGACUGGGAUAACUUCGGGAAACCGGAGCUAAUACCGGAUAAUAUAUUGAACCGCAUGGUUCAAUAGUGAAAGACGGUUUUGCUGUCACUUAUAGAUGGAUCCGCGCCGCAUUAGCUAGUUGGUAAGGUAACGGCUUACCAAGGCGACGAUGCGUAGCCGACCUGAGAGGGUGAUCGGCCACACUGGAACUGAGACACGGUCCAGACUCCUACAGGAGGCAGCAGUAGGGAAUCUUCCGCAAUGGGCGAAAGCCUGACGGAGCAACGCCGCGUGAGUGAUGAAGGUCUUCGGAUCGUAAAACUCUGUUAUUAGGGAAGAACAAAUGUGUAAGUAACUAUGCACGUCUUGACGGUACCUAAUCAGAAAGCCACGGCUAACUACGUG
This 496-nucleotide ribosomal RNA is filed under the name uncultured bacterium. Its description in RNAcentral is "partial 16S ribosomal RNA". It matches the Rfam family "Bacterial small subunit ribosomal RNA", at positions 29 to 507 of the family's 1533-position model. The record is from RNAcentral.